Passer domesticus (house sparrow) is the source of this 8107-nucleotide long non-coding RNA. RefSeq lists it as uncharacterized. The transcript is spliced from 3 exons. Lineage: Eukaryota; Metazoa; Chordata; Aves; Passeriformes; Passeridae. The record is from RefSeq and is a predicted model, not a curated record.
UUGUUUGUUUAUUUACAAAGUACGAACAGCUGCAACCCUCCCUAGCUGAAGAGACCCUGUCGCUGGAAGAGGAAAAGCCCUUCAAGACUCGUGGAGGCUGUUGGCAGGAGCAUCUCGGGGACAUCGAUUGAUUUAUUUGCUUAUUCAGUAGGCUGGUUUGGGUGCUUGGUCUGACUUGCCCAGACUGUCGCUGAGAUAUUUGGAAGCUUGAACAUACAGCUGCAGAUAAGUGAAGAUGAAAGAUUAUGCCCUGCUGUGUCUGCAUAAACUGUCUCACAUCAAUCCAAGUUGUCAUGGUGAGCAGAGAAAUUGAGCUCCAUUGCAAAGCCAGAGUUGCAGGGCUGACUGGGAAGCCACCUAGCAAAAGAUGCCAGCAGAUGCUUGAAAAAGGAGAAGCCAAGGUGUGGCAGGAGUUACUGCCUUGGAGGGAACUUGCCAAAGGAUUAGCCAUGGCCUUCACAUCAAUGUUUUCAUUAGUCCUAGCAGUACAAAAAAAUGGAAUUUUUCCUAUGUAAUUUACUAAUGGCAUAGUUAGAAAAGAAGAUGUGACCCUGCAGCUUGGCUCAUGCUGAUUUUUACCUAUUUACUCCUCCUGCACUCAGAAAUUACACCACUAUUUUUUUAUUUUAUUUUAAACAUAAAAAUAGCCAUUUGCCAUCCAGAAUCACAGACUAAGGAGAAUUGUGGUCAAGAUUCCUAUGAUUCACCAGUAUAUUAUAUAUUUUAAAUAUUUUUUUUUAAAUAUAGGAAAUGCUGCCUUAAAUCAGGUGAACUGUUUCCAAUAGAGUUAGAGAGGUACUAAAGGCUCCUGCAAAGCACUGAUGCAAGUCUUUAUUAUAGAGUGAGAAAAGUGCUCAGAAUCCAUGGGAUAUUGGUUAAAAUUGGGGCUAUUGGAGAUAGUCUGAGAAGGUGAAAGGAGAUGAUAGCACAGAUAAUCUCAUGUCUCUUCCAAUGCUGAGAACCCAGAGCUGUGCAGCCUCAGCCAGACCUCUCGUCAGCACAUGCCACAUCACUCAAAUCCCAUCUGUGGGGACAUUUGCCAGCACUGAGAGCUUUAGGGCUUUACAAGGUGUCUUGAGAAUAGAAAACUCUAUUCAUCAUCUUUACUGUCAUGAAAAAGGACAGUGUAUGAAAACAGGCUGUUUCACUUCAAGUUAAGCCAAGACAACGGGUGGAGCCGUCACCAAGUGCCAAGUGUGAGCUGCCUAAAGCUCCCCCACACAGGUGAGCUGGCUCCACCUGUACCUGCAGCACGGGGUACAUCCAGUACAGCCCAGGGCCUGCACCCACUUGCAUCAGCUCUCAUGGAUCAGUAACCUCUGCAUGCCCACACAACCCUGACCACACUCUUCAGUGUACUGGCCCACCUUCAGACAAAAUGCUGUGCUCUGUUCUGUUAGUACGCUCAAAAAUUCCAAGAGACUUCACUGAACUAUGGGUGUACUAGGGGAAAUAAGAAGCUUAUAUCUCAGGAAGGUUUUAAGUUAAUUUGGCUUGAUUAGGUUAAAUUGAAGUCAGAUUACAACUUCUGCCUAUAAGCAAUACAUCCAGUAUAUACCAAUGCACACCUCCUUUGUUAGGAUGAAGCGUGGUAACUCACAGACAGAACAGCAUAACUGGAUACCUGAGAAAGGAAUGAACUAGCCAAAGGGCAGGGGCAGCCCCUUCCCAUGCUGUGUUUCCCAAACUCAGGCCUUCCAGGUACUAUAUAAACAUAUUGCAUAGUCAUCUACAGCCAAUUUUUUGGUCACAAAGAAAAAAAAUGCAUUUAUAAUCAAAUACAUGUGAAACUCGCUGUCAUAAAAUUGUACCUAGGAGGUUUGAGAUUAAGUACUCUAAAAACUGGAAGGCAGCAUUUGGCCUUACAGUUUAAAUAGUAAAAAGAUUACAUGGAAAUUACCAAACAAAAUUCUCCAUGAGUUUGCCUCUUGUAAGUCUUCACAAUUACUUAGUUGAAAUGUUCUCAGCAGACUUAGGAUUGCAUAUUGCACUUUAUCUCUGCAAUUACACAAGCAUAACCGCUAUUGCAGGCAGAGACAAGGUUUAAUGCCAUCUUGUAAUAAUUAAAAAUGUUGGUGCAAGGAGUCCUACAACCAACUAACAGCAACAACUUUGAACUAAAUGAGAAACAGGAAAGAAAUACAUAAUGUAAGUAUUGCAUCAAUCACCACAACUUUCAAGAAAAUGCAAAACAGAGAAAUAUAGGUCUCUAACUUCCUAAAGGGGCUUCUUUGGACAAUUCAGAGACAGUCAAAUCUCCCACUUGUAGAGGGUUUUUUUAUUAUUUAAAACUAGUCAAGAAAUUACUCCAGCAUCUUUGUAAGAACUUCACUGUAGGUCAUUAAAACAAGUUUCUACCAGAUGCCAGCAUGUACUAAAUUUCCUCUAACAGAAAUCUUUUUGCAUGCUCCCCAUCAGACAUGUCUCCUCUCUGGCAUUUCCCCCUUAAGCUCCAGUGUAAGUUUAAUUUCAAUAUGAUUUCUUGGAAAAAUAAGCUCAUUUCCUUCCUGAAGAUGCAAGUACAAAAUGUAAUCUGAGAAAAAAGCACUAGCCUAAAAAUAUGUACCAAAAACAAGUGGGACAGCACUAGCCUAGAAAUUUCACUAGCAGAUACAAACAAAAACAAAAAAAACCCACAGGUCUGCAGAUGAAUUCUUAUUAUUUGUGUCUGGUAUAACUAUUUUUAAAAUAUCAUUCCAUUUGUUUGGACUGCUAUGUUUGAAUAUAGCAUUGAACAAAAAAAUCCCUAGGAGGCCUAACAAAAUUAUUAUGGACAAGGGAAGAAAAGGGGGAAACUAGAACUAGUUUCUGUUGUAACUAGAAAUACCUGAACAGUAUCAUUUUAUAUUAAGAUACAGAUUUCUUGUGAAAUACCUUACCUAUGCAGUAGACAUACCUAUGUAGUAGACAAACAUUAAAAUUAUUCAUUUAAUAAAAAGGAAAAAAGAAAAGUAGUAUUUUGACUGGUUAGUACCUCAUGUGCUGAUAAGUUUAUCAUCUCAAUCCAGCUACCAAGCUUCCAUUAUUUUCCUUUUAAGCCAGAAACAAGCAAGCUCCAACACCAUCACAUUUCACUGUUUGAAUAAUUAUGUAUGGUACUAUUAUGGCAUCAAGACUUCCGUAACUCCCUGGUGCCUUUUUUAGUUGCAUGUAAAAAAUCCAACUGAAAACAUUUCUGUAACAUUAGGGAAGAUUUUUACAAACAGCUGGUUUCUGUUAUUAAUUGUUCAGUAAUUAAUUGCUCACAACACAGCAGUGUUUUGUUGGAAAAAAUCUGUAACACUAAAACUGUAACAAUAUUUUUAUUUACACUGGUAGUCUAGGCAGAACAGAUUCCUCAGGAAAGGAACAACACCAAGGGUUCCUGGGUGAAUCAAGCAAGAGUUGAAAAGAGGGAAUGAAAAAUGAAGUAGCAGCCUUUGACAGAUUGGGUCUUUGUGAAAUGGGAAAUUAAGGCUGUCAGCCUUAACUCAGUGUUAACCAAGGGUUUGCACUGGAACUUCUGAUAACAUUUCAGCCUCUCAAAGCACUGACCAUUUGCAUGCUGGGGCUCUGCUACAGAGGAUGUUCAUGACCCCCUUGUGGCUGCAGACUGGGUUUUCUUCCAUGGAAAGCCAAAGAGGUGGUUUGAAUCCACAUACAUCCCAGCGUGGAGUGAGGAUACAGCUGUGCUGGGCAGUUAGGCUCAAGAGCACCAAAGAACUAAAACUUCCUGUAAUAUACUGGAGUCACAGACAGUGCUCAAAAGUUUUCUUUUUGGUUCUGCUCAUCAAAGAAGACUUGCCUGCCUGAACUUUCUUUCCUUCCAUCCCUGAGGCAAUGAAGGUGCGAUGCAGUACUAGGAGGGCACCCAAACUGCCCAAAUUCACAGCCUUACAAACCACCACAUACUGCAACCUGCUUGCUACUCGCCACACCUGCCAUGCAAGAACUGAUUGAUAAAUGUCACAUAAAUUCUGGGAUGGUGAUUUUCACCUCAGAUUUUCACUUUCCACUCAUAACCAACAUCAUUUGACUAGAAAAGAGUAGCUGGUGGAAAGAGCACUGUUGGAUAAUGCAAAGCUCAAUAUGUCAGAGGACCCACAAUGUACUAAUGGAAACCAAAUGGAGAUCUUGUAAUUUGUCACGGGGGAUGAAUGUGAAGUGAGGUGGAAGCCACAGGAUCUCACUCUUCUACCUGAUACCCUGGAAUAUUUUGUACAAACCAAGUACACCUCCUGUGGAGAAAUAUUCUGUACAAUGCAACAAAGAAUGCAAGGUUUGACUACAGCCCCAAUCAGAGCAUUUCGCAAAACAGUGGUUAGUAAGGUAUAAAACUUACCCCAAUUUUAUAUCUAAGUGGGGGAAUGAGAAUUUGAUACAAAAUUGCAAGGACAGGUUGAUGGGUUUGUCCUCCUUGCCCUUCCCAGAAGGGAUACCUUUUGGUAAGUCUUGCAUCCUCAGCUAUGCUGAGUGUUGACCUGGGAUAUUCAGCUUGUGAUUGCAAUCAUAUUGUUAGUGCUAUAUACAGCUACACUGCAGUUAAUGCCUUUAUCACUGGCAAUCCAAAAGAACCAUAGAUGUUGCAGCCAAUAAAUCCUGUUAUUCAUUAAUCCAGCUGUCUCUUCUGAAUAUGACCAGACCUAUAGUCCAUAGACUAUAGCAUGGGGUCCAUAGUUACACAUCUGCAACAAGAACCAGCUAAAGAGCAGCUGAGUAAUGUCUGGGUUCCCAGGCUCUGAAUUUGAAACUGAAUGUUCUUCUAAACACAAAACUAUUUAAAAAGUGUUAGUAAUUCUAUUACAACUUGAUAUUUUAGAAAGGAUUACUAUAAUUGAAGAAAACCAUUUUCUUGGGUGUUUCAAUUCAAUGUUCCUCUUGAAUAUAGAGAAUCAUCACAUCAAACUUUUGGAUUUAAAGAAAGAAACUACAGAAAAAUCCAUGGAAUUGUAUCACUUUUUUACACAAGACUGAAGACUGACUAGUAACUUUUAUGUAAAUCAUGUUUUCCCAAGCAAGCAUAUAUGAUUUUCAUUAAGCAAUUCCUUCCAUUCCUUUUUCAGUCAUAUCAGUGUGAGAAACUGGAAACCUGAAACAGUUAAUGUCUCAAACAUUUGGCAGAAGAUAAAAUGAAUGUUACCAUGCCAUCUAGGUGCAGUUAAAAAAAGAGGGUCUUGCAGAGGCAGGAGAGUGUUUUUCUGGGGUCAACUUGCUUAUCUUGGGGAACUAUUUCUAAAAACAAGUUUGACAAAGCAGUGGACUUGGAUCUGUCAGGGGAAGGGAUUUGAAACCACAAGACCCCCCCAGUCUCCUUCUGAAAAGUUAAAGAAUAACAAAAUGCACAUGGGCAAGGACUAGUUUAUAAGUAGUAAAACAGAGAGGGGCAGGGUGUGAACCCAUAUCCCUGCACUCACCAUCCACAGGAACUAGACCAGAAACAGUGUUGGAAGUCUGGUUAGUGACCCAGAUCUUUUCUCCUCUGUUUCCCCAUUUUUCCUUUUUCCUUUCUUCCUCUUCAUAAAACUUUAAUUUGUUGUUGCCACAUGUUGUCCAGAAAAGCUUUAUCCACAGCUGUUCAAAAACUAUGGCUGCUACAUGUUGUUCCAAAAUGUUGAAGUGGCUGCUACAGACCGUCCAGACUACCAUAAAGUUUAAAUCAUUGUUGCCAGAAGGUUAUUGAUGGCUAAUUGAUUGCCUUUCUUUCACCACAGUUUAGCACAAGGGUAUCCCAAGCAUCAGCUACCUCAGAGUAGGUGGCCCAGGACUGCCCUCUAGGGACCCACAAUCAAUCAGAACAAGAUCCCCUCAGAAACUAAUAAAGCCUUUGUCUUUAGGCAGAUUAAAUUUCUAAAUGCAAUAACAAUUAAUUAUUAAAACAUAGACAAUAGAAAUUACAAUUCAAAAUCUAUAACACUCCUUCAGGAAUGCAGAAAGUAAUUUUGCUGGUAACAAUAGCAAUCCUUUACACAUUAAAACAUCUCUGAAAACUGGGGGGGGGGUUUCUACUUUGUGUAUCAUAGCUAACUGCUGGUUUUGCCCACGAGGUGCUGAGAAACCUGCUACAAGCCCUGCAGAGCUGGAGCAGUCCACCAAGACAAGGUGUGUGGGAAACUUUCUGGGGCUCAGUGAUGCUCCUCAGAUGCACUGAGCCACCUUUGCUUCUGGCAUUCUAGCCAAGAGAACUAUCACAUUAUCACUUACAUUUGUGUGUUUAUAUGGACAAAAAAUUAAGGUGUCCUUUUUAAAUGCAAUUUAGAAAUUGAAGAAGGGCAGAGAAAAUAACCUAGCAUAUUUAAAUAACGAAGAAAUACAAAAACUUGUUAUAAAAAGUUGCUCUUACCUAAACAACACCUUUGCGUUUUUACAGUAGGAUGCAUUUACUAUUUAAGAGGAAGCUGAAAAGAAAAUGGAUAUAUAUGCUGCCACAAUAUAGUUUCAAUUUAAUCACAAUGAAUUUAGAAGAUUAAAAUUGUUUUCAUUACACUAUUUAUAAAAAAGAUCAUAUGACUAUUCAUUUCCCCUUUUGUCUAAACACAAUAAAAUUAAUCCUGUAAUUAAAAAUUAGGUAGAGUCAGUCAGAUUAAUGUCUUACACCCUGAAUAAGUGAAUAAGCAAUGCAUUCUUUCUCAUCUCUGAAACACUACUGAUAAGGACACACAAUAUUCAGGCUUGUCCUUCAUAAUAAAAAAUAAUAUGAUAAUAAAAGCCAGCAGUAUUUUUAGUGCUAAUACAUUUUAAAAUUUAAACAUAUUUUGUUACAGCUUGUCACACAGUGAAGACAAAACCAUUCAGUAAGCACUUUGGUGUGUCACAUUUAUAUAAUUUCAUCCUUAUUUCCUAAAUACUAUUUCAUCGUUAACUUCUAAUGAAAUCAGUGCACAAGGUUAGGGAAGCGCAUUGCAUUUAAAAUCAAAUUCCCUGCUGUCUGAUGCACUAACACAAAACAAUCCUCUAAAAAGGAAUAAUUACCAUUGCCUCCAUCCUUCCCUCCCUCUCCCAUCUUCAUUUUUAUGGUUUCACUACAUUUUUUUUCUAUCAUGUAAGAAACUUCAGACAAAAGGAAAAAAAAAGAUGAGGUAUAACUUGGGACGAAUCACUCAUACCUGUUGAGAACCUGAAUCCUACAGUGAAAACACUUUGCAGAAGAGGCAGGUGCAGAAGCAGCACAGCACUCCCCUCUUCAUUGCCCCAUAUUCAUGCACUGGAGCCACUGCAAACAGCAUGAGCCUGUGUGAGACUCAGGCUGGAAGGCAAGGACAAGGCAGCCAGGCUGCACGCAGAAUCAUAGAGAUAGUUUGGGUGCAAGGGGAUCUUGAAGAUUGUCUAGUUCCAAAGCCCCUGCCACAGGCAGGUAUACCAUCAAUUACACCAGGUUGCUCAAAGCUCCAACUAACCUGGCCUUGAACACCUCCAGGGAUGGAGUACGCACAGCUUCUCCAGGAAAUCUAUUCCAGUCCCUCACCACCCUCAGAGUAAAUAAUUUUUUCCUGAUAUCUGAUCUAAACCUACACUCUUUCACUUUUAAGCCACUCCCCCUUGUCCUGUCACUACAUGCUCUUGUAAAGCCUUGCCCCAUCUUUUGUGUAAGCUCCUUUCAGGCCCUGGAAGGGCACUAUUUGUCCUCCCCAAAGUUUUCUCUUUUCCAGGCUGAACAAUCCCAACUCUCAGAGAGUAAGCACUUGCUCCAGGAGCUGAGCAGAGAAGGCUGCCUCUCCACUCCUGCUGAGAAGCAAUUGACAUUUCCCCGAAUUAGGUCUCCUGCAUUUCCCCAGCUCCUGAGGAGCUGCAGCAAAAGGCUGCUCAGUAUGGCACUAUUGAGGACCAUGCUGGUCCCCAAGAGCUGUGCAGCAGCCUUGGGGCUGCUCCAGCUUCACCUUGCUGCAAGGAGAGUACCAGAGAGAGCAGAGCCAGGCUCACAGUCUCUGUUUAGCCAGGCAGGGUGAGGUGGUUUGUACUAGUGUUGUACCACAGCCAGAUUGACUGGCAGCAGCCUGAACAAAGAUCUAUCAUAGCAGUCUUGUUAAGCCACUGAGUCACAACCGCUGCUUGCCAUUGUCCAUUCUCAGUAUGUCUUAGGAGAAAGAGGGCAAAAGAAACAGCAAUGCAUAUGAAAAAAUAUGUAGUGCCU